GACGAACGCUGGCGGCGUGCCUAACACAUGCAAGUUGAGCGACAAACCAGGGCUUUCCCUGGGGCAAAGCAGCGAACGGGUGAGUAACACGUGACUAACCUACCCCCAUAACCGUGACAACCCGAGGACACUCGGGCCAGUACCUGAUGUGCGCACUGGCCUUCGGUUCAGUUCGUAAAGUAAGCUUCUUCCUCCUUUUCUGCAGGGGCCCGCGGCCCAUUAGUUUGUUGGUGGGGUAAGGGCUCACCAAGACCGCGUUGGGUAGCUGGUCUGAGAGGACGAUUGGCCACACUGGGAGUGAGAGACGGCCCAGACUCCUACGGGAGGCAGCCGUGGGGAAUCUUGCGCAAUGAGCGAAAGCGUGACGGAGCAACGCCGCGUGGGGGAAGAAGGCCUUCGGGUUGUAAACACCUUUCAGGAGGGACGAAGGUUGGGCGGUGAAUAGCCGUCCGGACUGACGGUACCUUCACAAGAAGCCCCGGCUAACUACGUG
This 493-nucleotide ribosomal RNA is filed under the name uncultured bacterium. Its description in RNAcentral is "partial 16S ribosomal RNA". It matches the Rfam family "Bacterial small subunit ribosomal RNA", at positions 28 to 507 of the family's 1533-position model. The record is from RNAcentral.